Molecule: long non-coding RNA, 2940 nt
Organism: Symphalangus syndactylus (siamang)
Lineage: Eukaryota; Metazoa; Chordata; Mammalia; Primates; Hylobatidae
Source: RefSeq, a predicted model, not a curated record
AGCACCUGAGGGGAGGUAGGCCGUUAACGUUCGUUUGGACAGGCUCCUCCCUCCAGGGAUCUGCCGCCCAGCGGAGACAGGAACGUGGCGUGGAGCCCAGCAGGGCCCCGGCGGUGACCCCGGGUAAGCCCCGCCCCCCACCCCUCCCGUUCAGUUAACUGUUUGGGCUGCGGCGGAUGGAACCCAGCGAAAGUGCACGCCCCGCGGGCCGGCGUGGGCGCGUGUGAUCUUAACCCCGCGGGGGCGGGGCUGCGGGCGGCAGUGGCUGGAGAACCCUGGGCGGCGGCUGCGGGGGCGGGCGGCCCAGCCACAGCCGGUGUCUCCGCACCUUAUAAGGGCUUCGAGUCGGCCCAGGCAUCUGGAAUGUGUCAGGGACCAGGAGGCGGUGCCCGGACCCCCGCCCGCCUCCGGGGCUGCCCGCCCUCUCCCGGAUUUCCGGGGGGUGGGGACCCCGACUCUCAGGUCUUAGGAGAGGGUUGGAGGUCCGCAUUUCUGGAUCCCUAUAAACAUAGGCUGAGAGCCCCCCAAGAGCAUCUCUAAGACCGAAGUGGGCAGGCACCCGGGCCUCUGAGGGGCUCAGGCUCCAGGCCGAAAACUGCACGCGGUGCUGGAGUCAGGCCCGAGGCCCAGCCACGCCUACCACGGCCUCCCUGAUCGCCAUUCGGGGCUUGCGGGAGCACCUGGGAGGCUCCACCAGGAGCCAGACACUGCCUGUCCCCACGCCCGUCCACGACCCGCGAAGGAGAAGGAAAUCGGGACUGGCCCAGCGUCCCGUGCUCUAGAAGGCGGGCUACUGCCCCGUCCCAAGCAGGGGAGGAGGACGAGCGAGGGCGUCACUCAUUCUGUACCCCGCGGAAGGUGGGCUAGCCGCGGAGGGGGACGCGCCGAGGGGAGGGGAGGGGUCCACCCCGCCCUUAGGGCCUCCAGCCAUCAACCGAGAUCAGAGCUCAGGAAUGCGCAGCCAGAGCCUGGAGGGUGAGGAAACACCCCUCCGGAAUUCCUCGCAGAGCACCCGACUCCCCGGGCCACACCCAGCCCCUCAGUAUCCUCCCUCGUCCACUCCGGACGCCACACCCAUCGCUCACGCUCAGAAUCGGGCCCCGGAACCCCAGCCUCGGCUCUCGGCACCCAGAGGUGCGGGACGCAGCCCUGUCCUCUCCUCCUUUCCCAGCUCCUUCUGCACUUUUGUAGCACUGGGCUGGAUCUUAACACUCCUCUCCUUCGGCCUUUCAGGAGCCCAAAGUUCCGAUUCUGUCUGUCCCCUGGACAGGGGGACAGUAAUUCUGAAUUCCUUCCAUUCUCAUUCUCAAACCCAGGACACCUAAGCCUAAGCUCUUCGCCUCCUAAAGGACCUCCACACGUAUGACCUCCACAGUCCAGGUCCUCAGCCCUCUCCUCUGCAGAACCCCAAGAAUCCUGGCCCAGCCCCAGUCUUUCUACGGACCCAGACAUUCUGAGACCCAGCGCAUUCCUCCCUCCGGCCAUAAAGACCCUAGACUGUUGCUUACGCCCUCUGGGGUCCCCACAACCUCACCUCAGGCAGCCAGUGACGACUGCGGCUGAAGCAAAGACGACAGCUGCAGCUGGAAGGGUCUGAGGGCUGGGUGGGGUUGGCGGGCUGGGGAGCCAGCGCGGGCGGGACGGGGGCGGGGCCGGGGCGGGGCGCAGCUCCGGCUGGGGCGGUGGACAGGGACUUCCCCGAGCUUGGGCUAUCCCAGCCCCGCCCUGAGGCGGGGCCAAGAGCAGACCACGCCCCCCCGGGUAAAAGUAACGCGGAGCUCCCGCCCCUACCCAGUGAGCUGGGUGGAGGGCUGAGGUCACCGUUGCCGUGGUGACAAAACAGGAAGACACAACAGCUGGCGGCGUGGAGACUCCUGGGGGCUGCCCUCCUCGACACAGCCCUAGAGGAGUCUCCAGGGUAGGCCAGGGAAGACCGUUACCAUAGAAACCCGCAUGUUUAGGGUUUGUUUAGUACAGAGCCCCCCAGCUCAGGUCCCCGCCCCCGUCUCACCUCACUCCUUUCUUCCGCUCCCUUCCUAGGCCCUCCUUCCUGGUCUGUUCCGCCCCCACCCCUUCCUUGCUGGAUUGAACCUUACGACACCUGGGUCGCAGCGGAUUGGGGGACCAGGCCCCUCAGUUCAAUGGGGUUUGUGGGCUAGGAUCUCUGUCUCGUGGAGCCCUGAGGGAGAGCAGAAUUGAGAGCAGUAUUCCUGGGAUUUAGGUGGUUCUGGACUACGACCCCUGACUGCUGGGUCUCCCCAAGAAACAGAGGCUAGAUUCCUGUAUUUAAGGAUCUUGAAGGGGCAGCAAAAUGCUCCCCUAGUACCCAUUGGCACCGGGCGCCGCAGAGGAAGGGACUGGGCUGGACGCGGGUCUCAGAUAUCACAGUGGAUAGGGGUGGGGUGUGCUGGGGGCAAAAUUCCUGGGAGCUAGCGCAGUAGGAGUUGGGGGCCCGGAUUCCUGGGCUCCACAGGAUGCCUAUGCUGAGGCCCAGAUUCUUGGCUCAAAAGAACAAUCAGGCCCGGGCGCGGUGGCUCACGCCUGUAAUCCCAGCACUUCGGGAGGCUGAGGAGGGAGGAUCCCUUGAGCCCAGGAGUUCGAGACCAGCCUGGGCAACAUAAGGAGACUCUGCUCUAUUAAAAAUAGAUCAUCAUCAUCAUAGAACCAUUAAAGCUCAGACUCGGCUUUUCAGAGCAGGUGUUGCAAGCCUAGCCGCCUGGGUCUGGAAAGCAGAGAUAUUUUUGGCCUACAUUCCUGACUGCUGGAUGGAGGGAAGGACUCAGAAUUUUAAUGAGGAUGGGGCUGUGGCUGUGGCUUGGGGCUUUGGAUUCCUGGAUCCUGCAAGAGGAGAAGGGAUCCAAGGGGCUGGUAGGCCCGAAGCCCCAGGGCAGGGAAGGGCUGCAGGGUGUGUUUUUAAAAGGCGGCUCUGCGGCCCUAAAA